This 400-nucleotide ribosomal RNA is filed under the name uncultured bacterium. RNAcentral's name for it is "bacterial SSU rRNA". It matches the Rfam family "Bacterial small subunit ribosomal RNA", at positions 355 to 772 of the family's 1533-position model. The record is from RNAcentral.
UGGGGGAUAUUGCACAAUGGGGGGAACCCUGAUGCAGCGACGCCGCGUGAGCGAAGAAGUAUUUCGGUAUGUAAAGCUCUAUCAGCAGGGAAGAAAAUGACGGUACCUGAGUAAGAAGCCCCGGCUAAAUACGUGCCAGCAGCCGCGGUAAUACGUAUGGGGCAAGCGUUAUCCGGAUUUACUGGGUGUAAUGGGAGCGUAGGCGGCCUGGCAAGUCUGAUGUGAAAUACCGGGGCCCAACCCCGGGGCUGCAUUGGAAACUGUCAGGCUGGAGUGUCGGAGAGGCAGGCGGAAUUCCUAGUGUAGCGGUGAAAUGCGUAGAUAUUAGGAGAAACACCAGUGGCGAAGGCGGCCUGCUGGACGAUGACUGACGCUGAGGCUCGAAAGCGUGGGGAGCAAA